This is a long non-coding RNA of Octopus sinensis (East Asian common octopus), 573 nucleotides long. RefSeq lists it as uncharacterized. The transcript has 2 exons. Lineage: Eukaryota; Metazoa; Mollusca; Cephalopoda; Octopoda; Octopodidae. The record is from RefSeq and is a predicted model, not a curated record.
ACCUCGUGGAGCUUUAGGUGUUUUCGCUCAAUAAACACUCACAACGCCCAGUCUGGGAAUCGAAACCGCGAUCCUACGACCGCGAGUCCGCUACCCUAACCACUGGGCCAUUGCGUCUCCUCUUAAUGGAAUAUGUGUUUCGCACUAGAAAUUUCUGAUGAUAUACGGAUCUAUUUCAAUCGUUUCUAAUUAUAAAAGCCAUGGACUUCUCGAUCUAGACUUAAUGGAAUGACGAAAAACCACAAGGCUAUAACAGUAUUCUGCGGUAGAUCUGGUUGUACAGAAGCCGUAGUGAUGGUCAUAGAAAGGAGUCAAGACUGCAGAUGAUAAACAACGGAAUCGUUUACAACCGUUUCCAUUACUUUUGAGAUGAAGAAAGAGAUGUCGAUACAACAGUUAGAUUACAGAGAUUAUCGUACGACAUUGGCAUUACAGGCAUCAUCAUUAUUCCUCCACUAUAACCUUGUUUAUGUAAUUCUACGAGCUGAAGUACCCAGCGCUGCCUGAGUUAAUUACUCAGAGAAUUAACAGUAGUAAAUCUUUUUGAAACAAACACCCAGCAAAAUUUCCAAC